CAGACCCACUCAUGCUGGGCAAAGGAAAGGGAAGACUCUAGAGUCCCCGAGGAGACAGUACUAGACUAGAGACAAAUUUAAGUAGUGAGCCUUGCUCCUGUCUCUACCAGGACACAGGGUGCACCAAGCUCUUGGAACUGGCAGAUUCACGGGGGACCAGGUCAGGGUACAAACAGCCAGGCCAAAGACAGAGAAUCCAGGAGUUUGGCAAAGACAGCCAUUUUUCCUGGAUGCAUCACUGAAUACAGAGAAUUACACAGCUGCCUCUUAUUAUUAAAAGCACCCUCCCCCUCACUCUCUGAAUAAACUGUGUGUUCUGACAUUAAACCAAGACACUACACAAGAAGAUCCUGGAAGCCAGGAUGCCGCCAGCUUUGUAUGCCAGAUGUGAUUACAGAGCGACAGCGAACAAUGCUGCAAUCAGCCCAUUGGUUAGCUAGAAACCGUGGACACUCUAGAUCUACAAAGACUCAGAAAUCACAACAGACUCUCAAGAAAAUCAUCUCAGAUAGAGAAAAAUAUAGCUAUUUACAUAUACAUUAGUAA
This 546-nucleotide long non-coding RNA is filed under the name Homo sapiens (human). RNAcentral's name for it is "HSALNT0091775". Lineage: Eukaryota; Metazoa; Chordata; Mammalia; Primates; Hominidae. The record is from RNAcentral.